CAGCUGCGCGUGCUGCCAGGCGGCGCCGCCGCGGCCGCCGCGCAGCCGGGCUGUGAUCACCGCGCGCACGAAGCGCCCGCACACUUCGGUCCACGACUCUGGCCGUGACGGAAACGUAUAUACAGGUUAGGUAAGCGGAGCCUGUGGAAAACGGGAUAAUGGUUACCAGAGAAGUCGACGGGCGCGGGUUGGUCUUGGUCCAGCUGCAGCGUCCAGCUCACGUGGGCGUCGUGCCAGCAGGCGGCGGCGGCCCGCACGGCCAGCCGCGAGCAGCAGCAGCCGCCGCCCGCCUCCACCACCCACGAUAUCACCCCCAGCUCCGAGCCCUCUGACGAGUUACAAAUUCAAUUCAAAUAAA
This is a long non-coding RNA of Pectinophora gossypiella (pink bollworm), 358 nucleotides long. RefSeq lists it as uncharacterized. The transcript is spliced from 2 exons. The record is from RefSeq and is a predicted model, not a curated record. Lineage: Eukaryota; Metazoa; Arthropoda; Insecta; Lepidoptera; Gelechiidae.